Molecule: ribosomal RNA, 729 nt
Filed under: uncultured Lachnospiraceae bacterium
Lineage: Bacteria; Bacillati; Bacillota; Clostridia; Lachnospirales; Lachnospiraceae
Description: bacterial SSU rRNA
Rfam family: Bacterial small subunit ribosomal RNA
Source: RNAcentral
UGAACGCUGGCGGCGUGCUUAACACAUGCAAGUCGAACGAAGAAGGUUAGAAUGAGAGCUUCGGCAGGAUUUCUUUCCAUCUUAGUGGCGGACGGGUGAGUAACGUGUGGGCAACCUGCCCUGUACUGGGGAAUAAUCAUUGGAAACGAUGACUAAUACCGCAUGUGGUCCUCGGAAGGCAUCUUCUGAGGAAGAAAGGAUUUAUUCGGUACAGGAUGGGCCCGCAUCUGAUUAGCUAGUUGGUGAGAUAACAGCCCACCAAGGCGACGAUCAGUAGCCGACCUGAGAGGGUGAUCGGCCACAUUGGGACUGAGACACGGCCCAAACUCCUACGGGAGGCAGCAGUGGGGAAUAUUGCACAAUGGGCGAAAGCCUGAUGCAGCAACGCCGCGUGAAGGAUGAAGGGUUUCGGCUCGUAAACUUCUAUCAAUAGGGAAGAAACAAAUGACGGUACCUAAAUAAGAAGCCCCGGCUAACUACGUGCCAGCAGCCGCGGUAAUACGUAGGGGGCAAGCGUUAUCCGGAAUUACUGGGUGUAAAGGGAGCGUAGGCGGCAUGGUAAGCCAGAUGUGAAAGCCUUGGGCUUAACCCGAGGAUUGCAUUUGGAACUAUCAAGCUAGAGUACAGGAGAGGAAAGCGGAAUUCCUAGUGUAGCGGUGAAAUGCGUAGAUAUUAGGAAGAACACCAGUGGCGAAGGCGGCUUUCUGGACUGAAACUGACGCUGAGGCU